GGCAGACGGGUGAGUAACAUGUGGGUAUCUGCCCUUUGGCCUGGAAUAACACGAGGAAACUUGUGCUAAUACCGGAUAAGUCUUUACGGAGAAAGCUUUAUGCACCAUUGGAUGAGCCUGCACUUGAUUAGUUUGUUGGUGGGGUAAUGGCCUACCAAGACUUUGAUCAAUAGCUGAUUUGAGAGGAUGAUCAGCCACAUUGGGACUGAGACACGGCCCAAACUCCUACGGGAGGCAGCAGUGGGGAAUCUUGCACAAUGGAGGAAACUCUGAUGCAGCGAUGCCGCGUGAGUGAAGAAGGCCUUUGGGUUGUAAAGCUCUUUCGUCGGGGAAGAAAAUGACUGUACCCGAAUAAGAAGGUCCGGCUAACUUCGUGCCAGCAGCCGCGGUAAUACGAAGGGACCUAGCGUAGUUCGGAAUUACUGGGCUUAAAGAGUUCGUAGGUGGUUGAAAAAGUUGGUGGUGAAAUCCCAGAGCUUAACUCUGGAACUGCCAUCAAAACUUUUCAGCUAGAGUUUGAUAGAGGAAAGCAGAAUUUCUAGUGUAGAGGUGAAAUUCGUAGAUAUUAGAAAGAAUACCAAUUGCGAAGGCAGCUUUCUGGAUCAUUACUGACACUGAGGAACGAAAGCAUGGGUAGCGAAGAGGAUUAGAUACCCUCGUAGUCCAUGCCGUAAACGAUGUGUGUUAGACGUUGGAAAUUUAUUUUCAGUGUCGCAGCGAAAGCGAUAAACACAC
This 735-nucleotide ribosomal RNA is filed under the name uncultured marine bacterium. Its description in RNAcentral is "bacterial SSU rRNA". It matches the Rfam family "Bacterial small subunit ribosomal RNA", at positions 97 to 869 of the family's 1533-position model. The record is from RNAcentral.